ACGUUUGUCAAUUUUGUAUUUAAAAUAAUUCUUUUUAACAACAGAUUACAGCAUAAUAUCCGUUGAGGAGAUCCGAAGUAUAGAUUUCUAUAAAGUGGAGUACUUGUGUUAUCUUCCAAUAUUGGUACCCUUAUUCAAAGAGAAGAUAUACGAGAUUUAUAAACUUUCAAAGAUAUUUGCCAAAUCGGGAAUUGAAGCGUCUUCCAGAUAUGACUUUACACUUUACAGAAAUUUUAACAGUUUUUUGUGGAAUUCUUCUUAUGUGCAAUGCCAGGAAAUUAUCGCCCUUAGAGAUAGCCAUUAGAAGCAAUCUUCCUGAUGGCCAAUCCUUCAAAAUGUUUCUGGAGGUCUGUGAAGCCUGUGGAGAACUGUAUGGAUCUGCCGUAACACAUUUCUGCCUAAUAGAACGUUCUCUCGGCACAUAUUUAAACUGCCUAUUGGCCGUGGGAUUUAAACGCUAAUAGGAUUAUUGGAUUAUUAACCUAAAAACCUGCUAGUCACAGGACUAAUACUAAAAUCAUUUCUUUAAAUGGAAUUCAACAUUUCUUUGCAUGAAAUCCAAAUGUUUUACUUAUUCUCGAUUAUAUAACCUACUCGAUUUCAAACAUCUUUUCGAAAUGUAUGUUAAAUAUAAUCAUUUCAUUUGUCAGACACUUUGUAACAUCAAAUAAUCAAAACUGCUC
Molecule: long non-coding RNA, 683 nt
Organism: Saccostrea cuccullata (small rock oyster)
Lineage: Eukaryota; Metazoa; Mollusca; Bivalvia; Ostreida; Ostreidae
Exons: 3
Source: RefSeq, a predicted model, not a curated record